UGCUGAUUUAAAAUUUGAAUAUAACAUUGAAGCAUCAACAAUAUAAACAAAUUAUUGCACAAAACAAUCUAUCAUAACAAAAAUCAUUAACAUCAUUAAGUUUUACAAAGGGAACAACCAUUUAAAGGCAUUCUUUUAUUCAGAUUUUUUUUACACCUAAUUAAACAAUUAACAUUAAAAUUAUGUCAAAAACUAAAUCAGAAUAUUUUUCUUCAUUUUACUUGAUCAAAAUAUUUUGAAAGUUUGGAAUCAGAAUAUAGUUUUAUAGAAAUAUCUAUCCCCUCCCCCUACAGAGAUAAAAAUAAUUGUUCUCUUUAAACUCAAUGCAUUACACUUAAAAUGUUUCACAAAACAAAACAAUAGCAGAAAAAAUGAAACACCUGUUCAAAAAGUUGAUUUUUUUUUUUAACAAACUGACUUAUGUGAAAAUAAAAAGCUUGUUUUCUCAGGAUUCUAAAUGUUUAGAACUAUUUCAAAAACUGAUUUAGUUUAAGAUUAGCUGAUUGUGUAUAAUAAUUUAUUGUAAAAAUUCUAAUAUUAUUGGUCUAGGUGAUUAUCAUUUUAAAAGAACAUUUACUUUUUUAAUUUAUAAUUUGCUUCCAAUCAAACCCUUUAUUGACUUGUAAAAUAAUAAUUUGAUUGAGUGUUGAAGAGACUUCACUAAUAAAAACACAAAAAUCACUAAUAAAAUAAUCCGAAACUAUAUAUUAUUGGUAAAUUUCUUGAAAUGUUAUCGAAUAGAUUGAUGUGCUCAAUGCACAGUGUUUUAGCUCUCAUAAAUAGUGAAACGGUUUGUAAAAUAUAGCUAGCUAAACAGUUUUGAAAAUAUGGCCCAAUUAGGCGUGUUGAUUGCAUUUAUGAUCUUUACCUAAAAAAAAGCCCCACCAAAAACAAUAGAAUAUAUCAGGCAUUAAAUAAAUAUAAAAUAACUGAAAAGUGCUCACAAUUCAACUUAAAAAUAUUAACAUAUCAAUAUAUAAUUAUUCUACCAAAAGUUACACUAAAAACAAGAAAAACUAUCAUAUCUACAUUGUUUAAUACUGUUAUAAUACUUAAACUUGUAGGAUGCCAACACAUGAUAUAUGUGUGGUUCAAAACUAGGCAUAUUGCAAGUUAAUAGACAAUUAUGAUAGGAAUUCAACUACAAAAUCGUUGAAAACAAAGAAUGAGAUUACUCUAAAGUAACUUUCUACAUUAUUAUAAAAUGUUAAAUUUAUACAAUAGUAUAGUAUAGUACGUUUCAUAGUAAAGUGCACAUUUAAUCCAGAAAUUUCAUAAAAAUGAAAAUCAAAUGGUGAUGACAGUAGUGUAGUAGGUUAAAUAUUGGGAAAAUGGGAAGUUCAGGAUCUAUGAAUAUAACUCUGCCAAACAGACAGACAGAGGUAGUAAAACAGGGAGGGGAUAUAAAACUACAAUUGCAAAACGUUUAUGAAAAGAUCCAGAACAAUGCUAAUAUUUUUUUCAUUCAGUACUUUACAUUAUCAAACAUAUAACAAUACACAUAUUAAACAUACAAUAAAAAACAGAAGGUUUCAUUAUUUUAUAUAUAACUAUAAAACAAAAUUAUAAUUAUCUAAAAUAUUCUGCAUAAAGAACAAGGUUCACUUAUGGCACAAAAUGGCCUAAAAUAUCAACUUUAUCGUAAAACAACAAAAAGACCACAAUGUGGUUCAUGAAUGGGUAUAUUUGAAAAGCCUAUAAUAUUGCUAAAUAAAUCAGUUCUUUUCAUAAAAGCACAUAAUAUUCUCCAAAGUAUUAAAGCCCAUUUUAGACAUUUUGUCAAAAUAUGAUGAUAUUGUGCAAUUUUCAGACCUGAAAGCUUUGGGAAAACCUUGGGUGCCGCCUGCAAUCCAAAAUGUUUAGUAACAAAAGAUUCCAAUUUAGAUAUAAAAUUCAUCAAUAUAAAAACUUUUUGGAUCGUGGAUGGAGGCCAAGGUUAAUUAUGCCAAAAACAAUUAAAAUUAUGGAAAGAAUUUACCAAAAUUGACAUUAAAUUAAAAAUAAUGUUUAUUUCAGGGGUCAUGGCUUCCUAAAUUUUAAAGGAUGGUGCCAAAAAAAAAAAAAAAUUUAUGUUAACAAUAUUCCCACAAGUAUUUCUAUGUGAAAUUUGUAAUUUUUUGGCCCGAUUUAAAAAACAUAAAAAAUUUAGGGCCAAUUUUAACCCUUUGUGAACCUUCUCCUUUAUUGUACAUCUUAAAAAACAUGCUUGUCAUACUUUACCCCAAAUGGCAAUAGGAGAAUUAAAAGAUAAAGUCUACCAAUGGUGUUCUCCCUAUUAUCCUCUAUUGGAGAUGUUAAUUAUCCAUCAAUAUUAAAACUCUUUUUUGUAUAAGAAAAAUAUUGCCCAACAGAUGCUUAAAACCACAUUUACCUCCCAUUAAAAUUAUGAAAUGAGUAAGGAAGGAAUAUAUUAUGUUUAAUUUUCAUGUGAUAGAACGUCACAAAUAGGCAAUAAACUACAUUUCCUUUAAUAAUAACUUAUCAUUAAUGGGGGGAAGUUGUAUAUGUUAGACCUUGUUCACACAAGGACAUUUAGAUUAAUUCAAACUAGAUUGGCUCACUUAAGAUCGGUUUAAUGGCUAAUGUGAUUCUUUGAAUCGAUCUUCAAUCGGUCUAAACUAAAACACCAAAAGAGCUUUUUCAGUUUGAAUUGAUCUAAAGUGAACUGAGCUAACUGAAAGUCUGAACGCAAAGAUCCAUUUAAAUUAGUAUGAUUGAAACGAAAAUAACUUAUGGGCAUGUUUAGUGGAAAAACUACACAUAUAAUAAAUUAACAUCCCUGUAUAUAUUGGUGGUUAGGUGUUUAAGGGCAUCGAUACAGUUUUGAUCCUGUAUUUACAAGUUCGUGAAAAUUUGCAUAUAGGCUAUUUUUUACCUGAUUAAAUCAAAUAUGUAAUAAAAAAUAUACCUUCAUGUGCUACUUUUUGAGUAAAAUGAGGUCGAAAUUUUGUAUAUUUGCUCAAAAUUCAGAUUUGUGGCCAUAAUUUUUUUUUCGAAAGAAAGACAUAAC
Molecule: long non-coding RNA, 3010 nt
Filed under: Mytilus galloprovincialis (Mediterranean mussel)
Lineage: Eukaryota; Metazoa; Mollusca; Bivalvia; Mytilida; Mytilidae
Source: RNAcentral